Musca domestica (house fly) is the source of this 7510-nucleotide long non-coding RNA. RefSeq lists it as uncharacterized. NCBI's taxonomy places the organism in Eukaryota, Metazoa, Arthropoda, Insecta, Diptera, Muscidae. The record is from RefSeq and is a predicted model, not a curated record. The transcript has 3 exons.
CAAAAGCUGCUCGAGGAGGGAAAGAGAAGAUAAGAAAAAGAGGAAGAGACAAUAAAUCAAAAGGCAAUUGUCGCACAACCUGCAAACUCCAAAACGGACAAGAAGCAAAGCAGCAAAAAAGGUUUCAAAGGAAAAGGUUUCAACUGUGGAUUAACCGGACAUUAUGCGAAUAAGUGCGAAAAGGAAAAGAAUAAAACGCAGGCGAUGAAGAUAUUAGCGGUGGCAGAGACAGCGGUGCGACGUCACAUAUGUGUAGAAAUAGAGAAAUGUUUGUAAAUUUCAAAGUACACAAUGAAAGAAUUACACUUGCUGGUGACAAAUACAUCAAUGCCUUACCAAUGGCAUUGGCGACGUGAACAUAUACACCAACGAUAAUGAAAUUAGACUUGAAAAUGUUUAAUACUCUCCUGAGUUGCAAGCUAAUUUCAUAUCUGUUAACAAAGCAGUUGAAGAGAGCAUUAGUUAAGAAACCAGAUGGUGAUAUUCCAUUGCAAGAAGAAAGAAAAGACAAUAGGUGUGUCUGGUUACUUUUUCAGCAACUUUUUUCUGAGAGAGUAAGGUAGUUUUAUUCUCUUUUGCAUGGACAAGGCGAAAAGUAAACAGACGGUAUUCCUGCAGAAGUUUACAACUAAUCAGCAGAUUUGUCAAAACAAACCAAUUUGUCCCCCAUUAAAAGAAUUAAAAUAAAGGAAACACCACCAAUUUUACAAGUUUUAUAAAUGAAAAUAAAAUUGGCAAUAAAAAUAUAAGCAAUAAAAGAAAAAUAGAUUUGAUGUAUUCCCCGGAAUCCUUUAAACCUGUUGCUAAUGGCGUUUGUCUAAAAAUGUUGGAAAUACUCUUUUAUUUCCUUAUUACAUAUUAAUAUUUAUGUUUUUAACAUUUUGUUAAGAUAUUCUCCAAAAACAAUUAGUCUAGCUUAUUCGAAAACAAUAUUUUCCAAUUGAAUGCCGAUGAAUAAGAAGAAAAAGAGUUGCAAGAAGAAAUUUGUUCAGCAAGAAUUUACAAACUCUCACUAAAAGAAAUGUCAAAAUUUCUCUCUGAACUUCUCUCUUUUGCAGAACUUUUGGGUUAACAGACGACUUCCAGUAACAAUUUGUAACAAUUGUUACAAAUUUUAGGGUAACCAGACACACCUAAUAUGUUUGUAUUUAACAGCAACUCGUGUGAGAAAUUGUUCGCUAUGGAUAACAACAAUUUGGUGUGGCACAAUAGAUAUGGCCAUCUAAAUUUCAGGAGCCUGAAUGACUUCUCCAGAAAAUGUAUGGUAAAUGGCAUGAGGAUAAAUGGAAACGUUAUGGCAAGACGAUUUCGAAGGAAUUGUUGCAACUUGUCCAUUCAGACGUGUGCGGUCCAUUCAGAACUACUUCGGUAGGAGGAUCGAAAUAUUUUGUAAAAUUUAUCGACGACAAGCAGAAGUCAGUCGCACUUAGUAGCACAGAGGCUGAGUACGUGGCGUCGUCCGAAGCAGCAAAAGUUUUCACCACAUCCGAGACUUAGUCCAGAAAAAUGAAAUAAAAUUAAAAUAUUGUCCUUCAACAAAUAUGGUUGCUGAUGUAUUCACCAAAAAUUUGUUUAAACAAAAACAUUGUAAUUUUGUAGAUUUAAUGAAUCUAAAAUGAGAUCUUUUGUAAAUGUAAAGCAUCAUUCAUGUUGAGGAGGAGUGAUGGAAAUAUAUGGCAACCCUCAUUAAGCAACAUGAAUGCUGUUAUAACUUCUUUAUUUUCUCUUGCAUUCAUUCUCUCGUUUAACUUAAUUGUGUAAAGAAGCAUAAAAUAUUUCUUUUAAUUUCAAUAAAUCUUUGGAUAUAUUUAAAGAAUAAAAACAAAGUUUUAUCUUAAGGCUAUGUUUUAUCAACUUGAUCUUUUGAUGGAUCCAAAAUUAAAUUUUAAUAGUCUUGUAAUAGCGAUGGUAGAUAAAGCAAAUGGUGUUUAGGUAUUGUAAAAUGAUGGACCAAAGAAUUUUCUGAUCCAUAUAUAACAAACAUUUAUUUACGUCUCUUGUUAGACUUCUAUUAGAAUAUGGUUCCGUUUUAUGGGAUCCUCAAUAUGCAAUAUACUCUGAUUUUCAAAAAGCUAGCUUCCCAUUUUACAAAUAGUAAUAUUAUUCCCAACCACUAAUUCGGCUUCCGUAAAAACCACAGUAAUAUUGAGCAAUUGUACUGCAUAGUCACAAACAUUAGAAUAGCAUUCGAAUGGAAAGAUUAUUGUUCCGCGUUAUUUAUAGAUAUUUCCCAAGCCUUUGACAAAGUUUGGCAUCUGGGAAUUCUACACAAAAUAUGGGAAACUCUACCUAAAAACACACAUAGUCUUUCUUGUAGCAAUUUGUCAAAUUGCAGAUUUGUUGUUAAAUCGAAAGACGUACUUUCAUAUUUUAGAAAACUAUUGGCUGGUGAACUCUCACCUCAACGUUUGCACAUGAUAUAACUUUCAUUAUUAUACACAAGGAUCCUAUGAUGGAAAAACUACAAACCCAUGUAAAUUUUCUCGAAAAUGGACUUAAAAAAUGGAGAAAUGCCCUAACAUGUGAACUUUGCCCCACAAUAAAAAUCUUCAAUACACACGCUCCACAGAAAGAUACCGUAAAAUAUCUCGGAAUGCAGCUGGAUCGAAGACUUAAAUGGAAGCAACACAUCGACGCAAAAAUCACGCAAAUAAAACUAAAAAGCCAGAUUGUGUAAGACUGUAAUAAAGCCCAUUUGGACUUAUGGUGUACCAUAGAUAAGAAACGCAAACAUCACAAGGACCUCGACAUACCUAACAUUGAAAAAGAAAUAAAACAGCUUUGCUGAUAGCAUAUAUAUAACAUAAAGUAGAAAGAAAGGAGUUAUAUAUGGAACAAGAUACCGUGCGGAUGACCCGCCGCGGCUUGCUUGCACGCACGCGAUCUUUUCUUGACAAUUUCAAAGACUGUUUUGAAUAAAUGCUGCGGCUUAUUCGCGUGAAACAUAGACUUCAAAAAACCGAAAAAAGAAAAUCUAAAGGUGUUAAAUUCAUUCAUUCAGUUCUAGGUAAGAAAAAUCGGGUUACCACUUCACAAUACCGAUUUACGAUUUCACGAUUGCGUUCUACUUGGGCACCAUUUAAUAAAAACUGCUCUGAACGGACGGAUAAUAGAUUAAAAUGAAUGAUAUAUCCUGGAUCCUAUAUUACAGAUCCAUACUUUAAGAUGUAAAGCAUAAAAGAAAUGUGAAGCUGUUACAAACCAAGAAUUGUUUGCUCCAUUGUUUUAUAAAGACCAAAUUUUAUAUACUUUAUUAAUAGUCAGAGAAACAUGCUCGCGGAAUUGAAAUGUAAGAUUCCAAAGGGUUUCAAGAUCGUUUAUAAAUGUAACAGAGUCGAUUCUUUAAAAUAGUAACUCAAUGCAAUUUUCUUAACUCCAAAAAAUAACAUAUGCAAAAGGUUAUCUGACUGUAAUAGCAGUCGAUUAUAUUCGGGAUUAAAUGGAAGGAACAUUUCCACGUCGUCAGCAAACAUUAGGAUUUAAAAAUAACGUAACGAGCCUUAACUCCUGGGCUCGACGAGACCAAGCUAUUGGCGCCCCCUAACUAUCCAGUGGACGGACUGGUCCACCGCAAUGGACUCCCUAACGCUGGGGUGUUACAUAAACCGUGCCCAUAAGCAUUCUAAAGUUUGCAGUCAGGGUACCGACUGUAUGCGAACGUUUGCCUUGUCAAUGCCUGGACGUCUCGACGAGCAGCAGGUUUAGCUACCAAGCCCUUAUCAUUAUGUGGUGACUAUGUCAUGGCGGAAUUCGUUACCUCCAAGCCCAAAACUUUUAAGGAGAACAAUAAACAAACUAUAAAAUAAAAACAAACGCUGACACCAAUUCAACCCUCUCGUUGGAGGCACCGACGUAGGACACGGCCACGAGCAUAAUUUUAAAUGCGGGUGGGGACAUGACUGCUGACGUACCGUGACAUAGUAUACCAAAACACACAGAGACAGAGCAAACAGCUGUCCGCCCUUCUCGAAAAAAAACAACAUCGGUGGAUCCAGCACGCAUGCUGACAAUAUUGAGAAAGCAAAAUCCCAACCUCUGUACGGACAACUUGCGAUUAGUCGGUUCAAGUACGGAGGGAGGAGGCCUGUUUGUAAAAGUAUCCAUCUAUACUGUUAGCCAGGAAACUGCACUUCGGCACAAGAGUGAUUUUUCCGUCUAACUUAGUAGGAGGAAUGAAGCAGUAGCUGCUUAGCAUCAUGUAGAUUAUUCUGCACCACUGCAAAGCAGCCGCAGCUGUACUCCUUCUGUCCCCCACUAAGACUGAAGUUCACAUACCUCUGGCCCAGGAACCAUGCAUAUUCAACAUUGAGCUGUGUGGACUAGGGAGUGAACGGUACAUUACCUACUCUACCUCCAACGGGGAAAAGCGAGGGAGACGCCAGGGCGGUUAGACUGGAGACGCGAUCGGGGAGGGUUCUCAUCUUUGUCUCCCUUCACCCAUCCUCUGAGUACCCUGUCCCACCGGGCAAAGUAUUAUAGAAGCUGUUUACGGAACUGGGAACCAAAAGCAACCUCGUCGUCUGAUGUGAUGCCAAUGCUAACUUUUCAAUGGGGCAAUAAGGAUACCAAUGUCAGAGGUGAGUCCAUUUUUGACUUUAUUCUUAAACAUAAUCUCAAAAUAUGUAACAGGGGAAAUGAGGUCACUUUUCAAACAAAGAAUAGGAAGGAGGUCAUUGAUCUCACGCUUACAAAAUCAUGAAUCACUCAAUUGGAAAGUCUCCACUGAAUGCUCCAUCACGGAUGAUAAUAUAACAAAUCUCAGUAAUCCCUCUACUGCCCGAAAUCAACCCUCUACUGACAUCAAAAACCGCAUAGGCAUCCAAGAAAGGCUCGAUGGGACAAAUUCGUGGAGUAUACUGCAUUGAGGCUGAGAUCAACGGGUAAUAUGCCAGUAUCCUUGGCCUCAAAUGUGGAUGACUCCGUAAAUUUUUUAAGAAAGAUUCUGCUUGGGUGCUAUAAGAAAGCUUGUCCUCUUACCUUCCCUGGCAAGAGAUGCCAACCUGUUUGGUGAUCAAAAUCACUAGCCAAUCUCAGGAAUGCAAGUAGACACUUAUAUAAGAGGGCCAACAGGACCAAACUAAGUACAGACUGGGAGGCUUAUAAAUCUGCCUUCAACAGGUAAGCAGUGAGAUCAAGAAGGUCAAAAGGUUAUCAUGGGUCUGCUUUACUGAGUCUAUAGAUGUCAAUAAAGCUUCCAGAUUCCGUAAAUUCGUUCAAAGGAUCCCAAAUCCAUUUGAUGCGUAAAACGGAAUGACGGAAGUUGGACUGACUCUGGUCUAAAGACUCUCAAUCUGUUAGCCAGUACUAAAUUUUCGAAUUGCACAGAUGCGAGAAAUGUUCGAACGGCAGAUCGACACAGUCAGCACUGUGAGGCAGAUGACGUGAGUCUGACUGAGAGAAUUGUAAGUACCUCCAAAAUCUUGUGUGAUACAAACCCAGCGCGAUCCUCGUGGGUUAAGUGGAGAAGAACCUGAAUGACUCGUGCUUCACCUUGACAUCCUUUCUCGACAUCGAAGGGGCCUUCAACAAUGUCACACUUGUGGUAAUUCAUUUACAAAACUUGGUAUACCACCACACCUAAUUGAGUGGAUUGAUGCUAUGAUCAGUAGCAGAAUCAUCAACUGAGGUUUCGGAGAGUGUUCGGUCAGGAUACAAAUUCAUAAAUCUUAUCGUUUCUGCCCUCAACUACUUCCUUCUCUUUUUAUGUGUUGGUUUCUCUUUUGAGACGAGCUUAAUGAUCUGAAAUUUGCAGUGAAAAGGAAAGCCACCACUAUGCGACGCGUUUCGCCGUUGGUUAAGCGGCUCAUCAGGCAUAUUUGGUGUGGAUGAUGGCUUACAAGGGCCGUUCUCUGGAAAGUAGAUUUUGUUUUGAACUUAUAUCGAUUUAGCAUAUGCGAAUUAAACACUAGAAACUCUCCAAGUUCGACUCAAGUUCUAUUAGCAGAUCUUUUUCACAGCAAAGUUUGCUCUUGUAGUGAUGGGGGCUAUACGAUAUGGUGAACCUAUAUAAAUAAUUCUCUUCCAGGCGGUAAAAUACUCACAAAGAACUCCUCGUGUAGAAUUUUAGACAAAAAUCAAAAAUACCGAAAAUUGGGAUUCAUAUUAUAUAGGAGCUAUACGAUAUCGUGGACCGAUAUAGCCCAUCUUCAAACUUGACCUGAUUUUUUUGCCACAACUUAUUCCAGUUCAUAUACCUAUAAGUUGACAUAGACUGAUCAAAUUUGUAUGCCUUUCCCACAACGUCAAGAGGUUUACAAUAGUUUACGUAGUUUAAAAUUGAUUAGAUGUCCAUGACCGGAGUGCAUACCUAAUAUAAUUCUUAAGUAUUGUUUAGACACAUUAACGCUCCCUUUAACUUAAUUCUUUAAUUAUUCACUUAAAUUUGGUCACUUUCCUACUUUCGGUAAAUGCAAGUGCAUACACGUUACUUUUGCUCUAAGGCGUGAACUUAGCCCCACGAUAAAAAUCUUUAAUUCUCAAGUUCCACAGAAAGAUAUCGUAAAAUAUCUCGGAAUGCACCUGGACCGAAGACAUACAUGGAAGCAACACAUCGAUGCAAAAAUCACGCAAAUUAAACUAAAAAGGCCAAUUUUGAGUGGUUAAUUGGUAUACGUUCUUCUAUUAAAUUAGAAUACAAAGUCCUAUUAUAUAAGACUGCAAUAAAGCCAAUUUGGACUUAUGGCAUACAGCACUGGGGCACAGCUAGUGCCUCUAACGUAAGUAAGCUACAAAGAAGACAAUCGAAUAUUCUUCGAUCUAUUACAGGUGCACCAUGGUACAUAACGAACGCAAACAUCCACAAGGACCUAAAUAUGAUUACCGUUGAGAAGAAGAAAUAAAGAAGCUUUGCCGAAAGUACUUAAACAAACUAUCCGAGCACCCAAAUAGCUUGGCCAGCCAACUCCUACUAUUCGGAGGACACGAUAGACUGCGUAGACGUGACACUCUUUCUAUCACAUAGUUUAUGUUUUGUCAUACUCUCUCAUUAUUUUCAGCUCUUGCCUGGCCAAUUGAACGUUUUUUUUUUUCAUCGCCCACUGUUAUACUUCUACAGGUAGGUAGUAUGCUAAAUUGGAAGCUGCUUCUGUGAAGAAAUCGAUAAGUCCGCGGGAUGAUUGGAUAUAACUGUAUCUAAAGAAAGCAACAUUAUAUCCGUAAGACUAUUCCUGCAGUCCGCGAUUCACUUAGAUAUAACAGUAUCUAAACUUAUCUGAAUUACCUACUCAAUUAAUUCACGGAUAUAACUGUAUCCACAAGCCCACAUACAACACACAUCUAUAUCUUAAAAAAAUUAACAAUAAUUAAUAAUUAAAGCAUGAACGCUGAUAAAGCAUGACAAUCUCCUUAUAAAAUAGAUUAGUAUAUAAGAUAUGAAACCUUAUUGUUAUUUUCAUUAAAAUAUAUAAAAGAUUCAAUAAAUUAAACUAUUAAAAAAACUUUCCUACUUUUUGGAAAAAAUCGUAUCUUACAAAUGUGUCAAAUUAUACAGGAAUUGCAGAAUAAGGUGUCA